GAUGAACGCUGGCGGCGUGCCUAAUACAUGCAAGUCGAGCGAACAGAUGAGGAGCUUGCUCCUCUGACGUUAGCGGCGGACGGGUGAGUAACACGUGGAUAACCUACCUAUAAGACUGGGAUAACUUCGGGAAACCGGAGCUAAUACCGGAUAAUAUAUUGAACCGCAUGGUUCAAUAGUGAAAGGCGGUUUUGCUGUCACUUAUAGAUGGAUCCGCGCCGCAUUAGCUAGUUGGUAAGGUAACGGCUUACCAAGGCAACGAUGCGUAGCCGACCUGAGAGGGUGAUCCGCCACACUGGAACUGAGACACGGUCCAGACUCCUACGGGAGGCAGCCGUAGGGAAUCUUCCGCAAUGGGCGAAAGCCUGACGGAGCAACGCCGCGUGAGUGAUGAAGGUCUUCGGAUCGUAAAACUCUUUUAUUAGGGAAGAACAAAUGUGUAAGUAACUAUGCACGUCUUGACGGUACCUAAUCAGAAAGCCACGGCUAACUACGUG
This 497-nucleotide ribosomal RNA is filed under the name uncultured bacterium. RNAcentral's name for it is "partial 16S ribosomal RNA". It matches the Rfam family "Bacterial small subunit ribosomal RNA", at positions 28 to 507 of the family's 1533-position model. The record is from RNAcentral.